UACGUAGGGUGCAAGCGUUAAUCGGAAUUACUGGGCGUAAAGCGUGCGCAGGCGGUUAUGCAAGACAGAUGUGAAAUCCCCGGGCUCAACCUGGGAACUGCAUUUGUGACUGCAUGGCUAGAGUGCGGCAGAGGGGGAUGGAAUUCCGCGUGUAGCAGUGAAAUGCGUAGAUAUGCGGAGGAACACCGAUGGCGAAUGCAGCUCGCUGGGACGGUACUGACGCUGAGGCGCGAAAGCGUGGGGAGCAAACAGG
RNAcentral lists this ribosomal RNA (253 nucleotides) under uncultured bacterium. Its description in RNAcentral is "partial 16S ribosomal RNA". It matches the Rfam family "Bacterial small subunit ribosomal RNA", at positions 524 to 776 of the family's 1533-position model. The record is from RNAcentral.